This 190-nucleotide ribosomal RNA is filed under the name Staphylococcus pseudintermedius. RNAcentral's name for it is "partial 16S ribosomal RNA". It matches the Rfam family "Bacterial small subunit ribosomal RNA", at positions 1 to 185 of the family's 1533-position model. Lineage: Bacteria; Bacillati; Bacillota; Bacilli; Caryophanales; Staphylococcaceae. The record is from RNAcentral.
UUUAUGGAGAGUUUGAUCCUGGCUCAGGAUGAACGCUGGCGGCGUGCCUAAUACAUGCAAGUCGAGCGAACAGAUAAGGAGCUUGCUCCUUUGACGUUAGCGGCGGACGGGUGAGUAACACGUGGGUAACCUACCUAUAAGACUGGAAUAACUCCGGGAAACCGGGGCUAAUGCCGGAUAACAUGUUGAA